GGGGGGUGGACACGCUCGGGCAAAAGCAAAAGCAAAAGUGAGCGUGAGCGAGAGAGAAAGAGAGGAUGUGAUUUGGCUUGUCCGAAAAAAGCAGCACUUCUCUCUUUGACUCCUCCUCAUCAAUACCGAUUAAUUGGCUUAUCAUAAACACAUCGGCUGAGCGGGGAUAGCUGGCCAGCAGCUAGCUGGAAGCUAACGGUGGCUACACUGUCAGAGCGGCGUAAAGUGUGGUGCUGGAAGGAACUUUAAGAGGGAAGCCCAGACGUCCCGCUUCCCAGCUUCUUCUUCCAACUCUUCAGGAUGGAUCCCAAGGCGUUUCCAGGCCAGCUGGGUGGCAGUCUCUCUAGUGUCCUGUGUCAUCACUGGGGUCCACUGCCAGUGAGCACCUCUCACCAAGGAGGCAACCAGGGGGCAUCGUUAACAUAGGCCCUAGCCACCUUAUCUGACUCCUCUCAAUGUGGAGGAGCAGCUGCUUGACUCUGAGUAACCGACCCAUUCCUCUUCAUUCACAAUGGAUGACUCGACUCUAUUGAUUAUCAUCAACUAGGAAUGCACUGAAGUGAGAACUCUUUGCCAAGACUUGAAAAAAAAAUGAGGAUAUAAAUAGAAGCCUUUCUUAUGUGGAUAUAAAUCGGAUAUGUAUUUUCGGUGACUUGUCAGAUCCAUUUGGCCGUAGAAAGAAAAUAAAGAUGUUUUGAUGGUUGCUCACA
This is a long non-coding RNA of Hippocampus comes (tiger tail seahorse), 710 nucleotides long. RefSeq lists it as uncharacterized. The record is from RefSeq and is a predicted model, not a curated record. Lineage: Eukaryota; Metazoa; Chordata; Actinopteri; Syngnathiformes; Syngnathidae. The transcript has 2 exons.